Molecule: long non-coding RNA, 453 nt
Organism: Phasianus colchicus (ring-necked pheasant)
Lineage: Eukaryota; Metazoa; Chordata; Aves; Galliformes; Phasianidae
Source: RefSeq, a predicted model, not a curated record
CCUUCACAGACCUCAUUUAAGGGUUGGCAGUGGGGGUGAGGGCAUCUCUUGUUGGAGUUCUCUGCUUACCUGAGGCCUUCUAAAAGAUCACAGAAAGUAAGGCUGAAGGAGUUGAGAGAUGCUACAAGUCAUCCUUUCCAUCCACAAAGAAGAACAGCUAAAUCUUGUCCUUUUCCUCACAUUCCUUCAUCUGAAUGUUCCUGGGAACAAGGCAAGAGCAGUCCCUAUUUGCUGAGAGUGUUCCAGAUGAAGAGAUACUCUGGGAUGGAGGGAAGCAUCUCCCCAUGCUUUUCCAGGUUGUUACACUUUACUCUGAGGAAGUAAAUGGAGUUCUGGCACUUACAGCUGAUUUCUGUUCUCUGCUUUAUGAAAGAUUAAAAGAAUGUGAAGAAUUAAAUCAAAUUGCUUAACUCUCUGUAUUUUCUAAGUAGUCUGUCAAGUAACUUUGCAAUC